UUUCAUAUGGAAUCAAAAAAGAGCCCAUAUAGCCAAGACAAUCCUAAUCAAAAAGAACAAAGCUGGAAGACAUAGCUUCAGGUGGCUGUGCUGGUGGCGUUCAAGAUGUUGACCAAAAAUUUCUGAGUCAGUGACAGGGACUGUAUUUGCCUUGACAAAAGUGUGGAAAUGUAAACUUUGCUAGAAGAACCAGUUUUAAUCGAUGUGGUCAGGAGGAAACAACUGAGGCCACGAUGAUGAAAGCUGGGGGCAUUGAAAUAGGAAAGACACUUGCAGAAAAGAGCCAAGGCCUAUUUAGUGGUAAUGACUGGCAGUGUAAAACUUGCAACAAUGUGAAUUGGGCCAGAAUAUCAGAGUGUUAUAUGUGUAAUACUCCAAAGUAUGCUAAAUUAGAAGAAAGAAAAGGAUAUGAUGGCGAUUUUAACAAAAAAGGAAAUGUUGAAUACAUAGAAAGAGAAGAAUCUGAUGGUGAAUAUGAUGAGUUUGGAUGUAAAAAGAAAAAAUAAAGAGGGAAAGCAGUUGGUCUUGCAUCUAUAUUAACGGAAGUUGAAGAUAAAGAAUCAGAGGAAGAAGAGGAUGAGGAUGAAGAUCUUUCUAAAUAUAAAUUUGACGAGGGUGAGGAUGAAGAAUCUAAAACACGAAGUCACUCAAAGUCUCUAUCUUCACAUUCAUGAUCUUCAUCACGGUCAUCCUCCCCCUCCAGUUCAAGGUCUAGGUCCAGCUGCUGUUCAACAGGUUCUUCCAGUUCCCAGUCCAGAUCUCAUUUCAGUUCCAGAGAACAUUCUAGAUCUUGUUGAUAGAAAUUAAGAUCCAGCUCCAGGUCCCACCGUGGCUCUUCUUCCCCACAAAAAAGAUCUUAUUCAAGUUCAUCAUCUUCUCCUGAGAGGAACAGAAAAAGUUAUUCUAGAUCUUCUUCAUAUGGUGAUUGCAAAAAAAGAUGAACAAGAUCACGGUCACCUGAAAGCCAGGUGAUUGGUGAAAACACUUAACAACCCUGAGCCCAGGGCCAACUCCUACAGAACACCACUACUUUACCCAGAUGCCAGACUUCAUCUUCUGGAUCAUCCCAUUCUGGUUCCCGUUAAAGUUCAGAAAGGAAAUAAUGCAUUAAAGUUUACAUCUUAAAAAAAUCCAUUACAGUGCAUGAAGCAUAUUUUGAAAGAAGUUGGUGUCUUACUUGGUCAGAAGUGCUAAAUCUGCUAGUAGAGCUGCAUGCCUUUCAUUGCUUUUCAAAACUAUACAACUGUGUUUAUUUGUGAAGUUAAAAGUAAAUAGCACUUUAAGCCAUAAUGUCCCAAAAUAGAUGCUCUGUCAUUCAUUACUUCCAAACAUUUAAAACAAUUUCAUCUAUAACAAAGUACUUUUCUUCCUACUUUAAACCCAUUUUUCUCAUUUUCAAAUACAUCUUGUCCAUUGGCCAGGACAGGAGUACCUAGACUUGCCUGAACUUUGGGCAUGGAAGCAAGACUGGAAACUAGUUGGAAACAACAUAUUUAUGGAAAAGGAGUCAACCUGUUUAUGCUGUUAAUGGAUAUCAAAGUAAUUCUCACCAAAAAAAGUUAAACUAUGUUGUAAAGCAGCCAACUGUAAAUGAAAUUCCCUAUAAUACGAGUGCCUUAGAAUCACUGAAAUAUUGAAAUUCCCUAUGCUAAGAGUACCUUAGAAUCAUUAUCUUUCUUUUAUCCAUCUUUACUUUUUUGCUCCACCACAUUUAAUGCAAAAGAAUCUCGUUACCCUAGAAGGAGAGAAGCGGUAUUUAUUUUCCUUUCUGAUACAUAAUUUGGGGCAAAAAAGAAAGUUUAACAAUUUAUCACUUAUCUGCUGAUAUGGUUGCUUGAUAAAAACAUCUCAAAAUGUUUACCAAUAUUUUAACAAGCUUUGUGUGAUAUUCUUUAAAAUCUAGUUAUCAAAUAUAA
RNA transcript from Sapajus apella (tufted capuchin), 1916 nucleotides. It is a transcript of the gene named zinc finger Ran-binding domain-containing protein 2 pseudogene, with no coding region annotated. The record is from RefSeq and is a predicted model, not a curated record. Lineage: Eukaryota; Metazoa; Chordata; Mammalia; Primates; Cebidae. The transcript has a single exon.